UGUUCGGUUAAGUCCGCUAACGAGCGCAACCCUCGCUGUAUGUUACAUGUGUCAUACAGGACCGCCGGUAUCAAGCCGGAGGAAGGUGGGGAUGACGUCAAGUCCGCAUGGCCUUUAUGUCCGGGGCUACACACACGCUACAAUGGUCGGUACAAUGGGUUGCUAAGCCGCGAGGUGGAGCCAAUCCCCCAAAGCCGGCCUCAGUUCAGAUUGCAGGCUGCAACUCGCCUGCAUGAAGCUGGAGUUGCUAGUAAACGCGCGUCAGCCUAUAGUCGCGUUGAAUAACGUUACUCGGGCCGUUG
Molecule: ribosomal RNA, 302 nt
Filed under: uncultured Anaerolineaceae bacterium
Lineage: Bacteria; Bacillati; Chloroflexota; Anaerolineae; Anaerolineales; Anaerolineaceae
Description: bacterial SSU rRNA
Rfam family: Bacterial small subunit ribosomal RNA
Source: RNAcentral